CCUACGGGAGGCAGCAGUGAGGAAUAUUGGUCAAUGGGCGCGAGCCUGAACCAGCCAAGUCGCGUGAGGGAGGACGGCCCUACGGGUUGUAAACCUCUUUUGCCGGGGAGCAACGGGCGCCACGUGUGGCCUCACUGAGAGUACCCGGAGACAAAGCAUCGGCUAACUCCGUUCCAGCAACCGCGGUAAUACGGAGGAUGCGAGCGUUAUCCGGAUUUAUUGGGUGUAAAGGGUGCGUAGGCGGAUCGUUAAGUCAGUGGUCAAAUUGAGGGGCUCCACCCCUUCCCGCCAUUGAAACUGGCGUUCUUGAGUGGAAGAGAAGUAUGCGGAAUGCGUGGGGUAGCGGUGAAAUGGAGAGAUAUCACGCAGAACCCCGAUUGCGAAGGCAGCAUGCCGGCUUCCGACGGACGCUGAAGCACGAAAGCGUGGGGAUCGAACAGGAUUAGAUACCCCUGUAGUC
Molecule: ribosomal RNA, 460 nt
Filed under: uncultured bacterium
Lineage: Bacteria
Description: partial 16S ribosomal RNA
Rfam family: Bacterial small subunit ribosomal RNA
Source: RNAcentral